RNAcentral lists this ribosomal RNA (253 nucleotides) under uncultured bacterium. RNAcentral's name for it is "partial 16S ribosomal RNA". It matches the Rfam family "Bacterial small subunit ribosomal RNA", at positions 524 to 776 of the family's 1533-position model. The record is from RNAcentral.
GACGUAGGAGGCGAGCGUUGUCCGGAUUCAUUGGGCGUAAAGAGCACGCAGGCGGUUUGGCAAGUCGGAUGUGAAAACCCGAAGCUCAACUUCGGGCCUGCAUCCGAAACUGCCCGACUAGAGGUAGGUAGGGGAGAUCGGAAUUCCUGGUGUAGCGGUGAAAUGCGCAGAUAUCAGGAGGAACACCGGUGGCGAAGGCAGCUCGCUGGGACGGUACUGACGCUGAGGUGCGAAAGCGUGGGGAGCGAACAGG